CCGCCGAGUCCGACCAUGCAAGCGGCAGCGACCGCCCCGGCGCUCGCGCCGCCCAUCCUCCUCCCCCCUCUGCCUCCCCACCGGCUCCGGCUCCUCCGUCCGGCCGCGCCGCGCCGCCCGGUCCGCCGUCCGGUGCGAGCUCGUCGCCGCCGCCGCCGCCUCCGCCUCCUCCGCGGCGCCCGCACCCGUGGCCGCCCCCCGCUGGGCCCAGACGACGGUCGUCAUCCCGCCGCAGCGCCGCGGCUGCCACAUCAUCACCCACAAGAUCAUGCACGCGAUCAGGAGCGACCUCUCCGAGUUCAAGUGCGGCCUGGCGCAUCUCUUCUUGCACCACACGAGCGCUUCACUCACUCUUAAUGAGAACUACGACCCCGAUGUCCAAACUGACACUGAAACAUUCCUUAGUCGAAUUGUCCCAGAGGGCCCAUCUGCUCCAUGGAGGCACACCAUUGAAGGAUCUGAUGACAUGCCAGCACAUAUCAAAUCAUCAAUGUUUGGCUGUGCCUUGACAAUUCCUAUCACUGAUGGGCGUCUCAACAUGGGAACUUGGCAGGGUAUAUGGCUCUGUGAACAUCGUGAUUACGCUACUCCGCGCACAGUUGUGAUUACGCUCAGUGGGAUAUGAAUGAUGAAUGCUAGGAGCUGCAAAUACAGUGUUGCUGAUGUGCAGUGAAAUUGGAACUCUGCUUCAACUGUUGUAUGAGCUGCCCCGACAAAUCUUAUUUGUAAUCUUGUUUGAGCAGUUUUGCGCAAGGGGAGUAAAUAGUAGAUUUUGUGAGCUCCCAUGCAAGCACCCCUUUAUGUGGGCCAUGUAAUAUUGCAUCAAGAUCUGUACUGCUAGCUUGCUAUCUCCACCUUGGUAGAAAUAAUGUCUCUUUUGUUUAUCCCAAACAAGACGACAUAUAAAGACGCCAUGCCAACAUAUAAAUAAAUAUAUUCUCAGAUCA
Molecule: RNA transcript, 947 nt
Organism: Hordeum vulgare subsp. vulgare (domesticated barley)
Lineage: Eukaryota; Viridiplantae; Streptophyta; Magnoliopsida; Poales; Poaceae
Gene name: UPF0047 protein YjbQ-like
Exons: 7
Source: RefSeq, a predicted model, not a curated record